GGGCCCGCACAAGCGGUGGAGCAUGUGGUUUAAUUCGAUGAUACGCGAGGAACCUUACCAGGGCUUAAAUGUAGAGUGACAGGGCUAGAGAUAGCUUUUUCUUCGGACACUUUACAAGGUGCUGCAUGGUUGUCGUCAGCUCGUGCCGUGAGGUGUCAGGUUAAGUCCUAUAACGAGCGCAACCCCUACUGCUAGUUGCUAACAGGUUAAGCUGAGGACUCUAGUGGGACUGCCGGUGCAAACCGCGAGGAAGGUGGGGAUGACGUCAAAUCAUCACGGCCCUUACGUCCUGGCUACACACGUGCUACAAUGGUAGAGACAAUGAGCAGCCACUGCGUGAGCAGGAGCGAA
Molecule: ribosomal RNA, 351 nt
Filed under: uncultured bacterium
Lineage: Bacteria
Description: bacterial SSU rRNA
Rfam family: Bacterial small subunit ribosomal RNA
Source: RNAcentral